This 490-nucleotide ribosomal RNA is filed under the name uncultured bacterium. RNAcentral describes it as "partial 16S ribosomal RNA". It matches the Rfam family "Bacterial small subunit ribosomal RNA", at positions 28 to 507 of the family's 1533-position model. The record is from RNAcentral.
GAUGAACGCUAGCUACAGGCUUAACACAUGCAAGUCGAGGGGCAGCAUGGUCUUAGCUUGCUAAGGCCGAUGGCGACCGGCGCACGGGUGAGUAACGCGUAUCCAACCUGCCGUCUACUCUUGGACAGCCUUCUGAAAGGAAGAUUAAUACAAGAUGGCAUCAUGAGUUCACAUGUUCACAUGAUUAAAGGUAUUCCGGUAGACGAUGGGGAUGCGUUCCAUUAGAUAGUAGGCGGGGUAACGGCCCACCUAGUCUUCGAUGGAUAGGGGUUCUGAGAGGAAGGUCCCCCACAUUGGAACUGAGACACGGUCCAAACUCCUACGGGAGGCAGCAGUGAGGAAUAUUGGUCAAUGGGCGAGAGCCUGAACCAGCCAAGUAGCGUGAAGGAUGACUGCCCUAUGGGUUGUAAACUUCUUUUAUAAAGGAAUAAAGUCGGGUAUGUAUACCCGUCUGCAUGUACUUUAUGAAUAAGGAUCGGCUAACUCCGUG